RNAcentral lists this long non-coding RNA (140 nucleotides) under Parus major (Great Tit). RNAcentral's name for it is "lncRNA (ENSPMJG00000004434.1)". The record is from RNAcentral. Lineage: Eukaryota; Metazoa; Chordata; Aves; Passeriformes; Paridae.
AUGGGUUAUCGCUGGGUUAUCGCUGGGUUAUCAAUCAGUUAUCGCUGGGUUAUUGAUCAAUCACUGUGGAUGGGUUAUCGAUCAGUUAUCGAUGGGUUAUUGAUCAAUCACUGUGGAUGGGUUAUCGAUCAGUUAUCGAU